This 283-nucleotide ribosomal RNA is filed under the name uncultured bacterium. RNAcentral describes it as "partial 16S ribosomal RNA". It matches the Rfam family "Bacterial small subunit ribosomal RNA", at positions 335 to 615 of the family's 1533-position model. The record is from RNAcentral.
UGCCUACGGGAGGCAGCAGUGAGGAAUAUUGGUCAAUGGGCGCGAGCCUGAACCAGCCAAGUUGCGUGAGGGAGGACGGCCCUACGGGUUGUAAACCUCUUUUACCGGGGAGCAACGGGCGUCACGUGUGGCGCCACUGAGAGUACCCGGAGAAAAAGCAUCGGCUAACUCCGUGCCAGCAGCCGCGGUAAUACGUAGGUGGCAAGCGUUAUCCGGAUUUAUUGGGUGUAAAGGGCGUGUAGGCGGGAGCGCAAGUCAGAUGUGAAAACGCAGGGGUCAACCC